This 663-nucleotide unclassified non-coding RNA is filed under the name Nicandra physalodes (shoo-fly plant). RNAcentral's name for it is "contains ITS1, 5.8S rRNA and ITS2". The stretch from base 313 to 468 matches the Rfam family "5.8S ribosomal RNA". The record is from RNAcentral. Lineage: Eukaryota; Viridiplantae; Streptophyta; Magnoliopsida; Solanales; Solanaceae.
UCGUAAACAAAGGGUUUUCCCGUAAGGGUGAAACCCUGCGGGAAAGGGAUUCAUUUGUUGUMAAACCCUGCGAAGCAAGAACGACCCGCGAACUCGUUUUUCAACACUUGGGAGCCGCGCGGGCGGGGUGCUUUCGGCCCCCUCGUCCGUGCGUCUCCCGUCCGUCCCCGGGGGCGCGCGCUCGCGUGCGCUUCGGGCGACUAACGAACCCCCGGCGCGAAAAGCGCCAAGGAAUACUUAACAGACAGCCUGCCUCCGGCGCCCCGUUCGCGGUGCGCGCCUGAGCGCGUGUGCUUCUUUUGAAACUGAAACGACUCUCGGCAACGGAUAUCUCGGCUCUCGCAUCGAUGAAGAACGUAGCGAAAUGCGAUACUUGGUGUGAAUUGCAGAAUCCCGUGAACCAUCGAGUCUUUGAACGCAAGUUGCGCCCGAAGCCAUUAGGCCGAGGGCACGUCUGCCUGGGCGUAUCGCGUCGCCCCCCGCAAUCUGCGAGGGGCGGAUACUGGCCUCCCGUGCGCUUCCCGCUCGCGGCUGGCCUAAAUGCGAGUCCACGUCGACGGACGUCGCGGCAAGUGGUGGUUGAAACUCAACUCUCGUAAUGUCGCGGCUACAGCCCGUCGCUCGUUCGGACUCCCCGACCCUUCUAGCGCUCGCGCGCUCCGA